This 497-nucleotide ribosomal RNA is filed under the name uncultured bacterium. RNAcentral's name for it is "partial 16S ribosomal RNA". It matches the Rfam family "Bacterial small subunit ribosomal RNA", at positions 28 to 507 of the family's 1533-position model. The record is from RNAcentral.
GAUGAACGCUGGCGGCGUGCCUAAUACAUGCAAGUCGAGCGAACAGACGAGGAGCUUGCUCCUCUGACGUUAGCGGCGGACGGGUGAGUAACACGUGGAUAACCUACCUAUAAGACUGGGAUAACUUCGGGAAACCGGAGCUAAUACCGGAUAAUAUAUUGAACCGCAUGGUUCAAUAGUGAAAGACGGUUUUGCUGUCACUUAUAGAUGGAUCCGCGCCGCAUUAGCUAGUUGGUAAGGUAACGGCUUACCAAGGCGACGAUGCGUAGCCGACCUGAGAGGGUGAUCGGCCACACUGGAACUGAGACACGGUCCAGACUCCUACGGGAGGCAGCAGUAGGGAAUCUUCCGCAAUGGGCGAAAGCCUGACGGAGCAACGCCGCGUGAGUGAUGAAGGUCUUAGGAUCGUAAAACUCUGUUAUUAGGGAAGAACAAAUGUGUAAGUAACUAUGCACGUCUUGACGGUACCUAAUCAGAAAGCCACGGCUAACUACGUG